Molecule: ribosomal RNA, 253 nt
Filed under: uncultured bacterium
Lineage: Bacteria
Description: partial 16S ribosomal RNA
Rfam family: Bacterial small subunit ribosomal RNA
Source: RNAcentral
UACGUAGGGUGCAAGCGUUAAUCGGAAUUACUGGGCGUAAAGCGUGCGCAGGCGGUGCUGUAAGACAGGCGUGAAAUCCCCGGGCUCAACCUGGGAACUGCAUUUGUGACUGCAAGGCUAGAGUACGGCAGAGGGGGAUGGAAUUCCGCGUGUAGCAGUGAAAUGCGUAGAUAUGCGGAGGAACACCAAUGGCGAAGGCAAUCCCCUGGGCCUGUACUGACGCUCAUGCACGAAAGCGUGGGGAGCAAACAGG